Molecule: ribosomal RNA, 424 nt
Filed under: uncultured prokaryote
Description: bacterial SSU rRNA
Rfam family: Bacterial small subunit ribosomal RNA
Source: RNAcentral
UGGGGAAUAUUGCGCAAUGGAGGGAACUCUGACGCAGCCAUGCCGCGUGGGUGAAGAAGGCCUUCGGGUUGUAAAGCCCUUUCGACGGGGAAGAUGAUGACGGUACCCGUAGAAGAAGCCCCGGCUAACUUCGUGCCAGCAGCCGCGGUAAUACGAAGGGGGCAAGCGUUGUUCGGAAUUACUGGGCGUAAAGGGCGUGUAGGCGGAUGUAUUAGUUGGGGGUGAAAGCCUUGGGCUCAACCUGAGAACUGCCUUCAAUACUAUGCAUCUAGAGUCCGUGAGAGGAUGGCGGAAUACCCAGUGUAGAGGUGAAAUUCGUAGAUAUUGGGUAGAACACCAGUGGCGAAGGCGGCCAUCUGGCACGGCACUGACGCUGAGGCGCGAAAGCGUGGGGAGCAAACAGGAUUAGAUACCCCCGUAGUCC